RNAcentral lists this ribosomal RNA (381 nucleotides) under Escherichia coli. RNAcentral describes it as "bacterial SSU rRNA". It matches the Rfam family "Bacterial small subunit ribosomal RNA", at positions 580 to 960 of the family's 1533-position model. Lineage: Bacteria; Pseudomonadati; Pseudomonadota; Gammaproteobacteria; Enterobacterales; Enterobacteriaceae. The record is from RNAcentral.
UUGUUAAGUCAGAUGUGAAAUCCCCGGGCUCAACCUGGGAACUGCAUCUGAUACUGGCAAGCUUGAGUCUCGUAGAGGGGGGUAGAAUUCCAGGUGUAGCGGUGAAAUGCGUAGAGAUCUGGAGGAAUACCGGUGGCGAAGGCGGCCCCCUGGACGAAGACUGACGCUCAGGUGCGAAAGCGUGGGGAGCAAACAGGAUUAGAUACCCUGGUAGUCCACGCCGUAAACGAUGUCGACUUGGAGGUUGUGCCCUUGAGGCGUGGCUUCCGGAGCUAACGCGUUAAGUCGACCGCCUGGGGAGUACGGCCGCAAGGUUAAAACUCAAAUGAAUUGACGGGGGCCCGCACAAGCGGUGGAGCAUGUGGUUUAAUUCGAUGCAAC